AAAAGAUGGAUCCUUUGGGACCCUUCAUCCACAAACCUGCGGAAGUGAGAUGUGCUUCGGCGCCUCCGGGCGUCGAGUCUAUGCUGUUUAGCUUGUGUCUGAAGAAAAACAAAAAAUUAA
RNAcentral lists this unclassified non-coding RNA (120 nucleotides) under uncultured Archaeorhizomyces. RNAcentral's name for it is "sequence contains ITS1". The record is from RNAcentral. Lineage: Eukaryota; Fungi; Ascomycota; Archaeorhizomycetes; Archaeorhizomycetales; Archaeorhizomycetaceae.